AUUUAUCGGAGAGUUUGAUCCUGGCUCAGGACGAACGCUGGCGGCGUGCCUAAUACAUGCAAGUCGAGCGGACAGAUGGGAGCUUGCUCCCUGAUGUUAGCGGCGGACGGGUGAGUAACACGUGGGUAACCUGCCUGUAAGACUGGGAUAACUCCGGGAAACCGGGGCUAAUACCGGAUGGUUGUUUGAAUCGCAUGGUUCAAACAUAAAAGGUGGCUUCGGCUACCACUUACAGAUGGACCCGCGGCGCAUUAGCUAGUUGGUGAGGUAACGGCUCACCAAGGCGACGAUGCGUAGCCGACCUGAGAGGGUGAUCGGCCACACUGGGACUGAGACACGGCCCAGACUCCUACGGGAGGCAGCAGUAGGGAAUCUUCCGCAAUGGACGAAAGUCUGACGGAGCAACGCCGCGUGAGUGAUGAAGGUUUUCGGAUCGUAAAGCUCUGUUGUCAGGGAAGAACAAGUACCGUUCGAAUAGGGCGG
Molecule: ribosomal RNA, 483 nt
Filed under: Bacillus sp. CMAA 1185
Lineage: Bacteria; Bacillati; Bacillota; Bacilli; Caryophanales; Bacillaceae
Description: bacterial SSU rRNA
Rfam family: Bacterial small subunit ribosomal RNA
Source: RNAcentral